UAAGUAAGCUUUGAUCCAGAGAUUUCCGAAUGGGGAAACCCAGCAUGAGUUAUGUCAUGUUAUCGAUAUGUGAAUACAUAGCAUAUCAGAAGGCACACCCGGAGAACUGAAACAUCUUAGUACCCGGAGGAAGAGAAAGAAAAUUCGAUUCCCUUAGUAGCGGCGAGCGAAACGGGAAGAGCCCAAACCAACAAGCUUGCUUGUUGGGGUUGUAGGACACUCUAUACGGAGUUACAAAGGACGACAUUAGACGAAUCAUCUGGAAAGAUGAAUCAAAGAAGGUAAUAAUCCUGUAGUCGAAAAUGUUGUCUCUCUUGAGUGGAUCCUGAGUACGACGGAGCACGUGAAAUUCCGUCGGAAUCUGGGAGGACCAUCUCCUAAGGCUAAAUACUCUCUAGUGACCGAUAGUGAACCAGUACCGUGAGGGAAAGGUGAAAAGCACCCCGGAAGGGGAGUGAAAUAGAACCUGAAACCGUGUGCUUACAAGUAGUCAGAGCCCGUUAAUGGGUGAUGGCGUGCCUUUUGUAGAAUGAACCGGCGAGUUACGAUUUGAUGCAAGGUUAAGCAGUAAAUGUGGAGCCGUAGCGAAAGCGAGUCUGAAUAGGGCGUUUAGUAUUUGGUCGUAGACCCGAAACCAGGUGAUCUACCCUUGGUCAGGUUGAAGUUCAGGUAACACUGAAUGGAGGACCGAACCGACUUACGUUGAAAAGUGAGCGGAUGAACUGAGGGUAGCGGAGAAAUUCCAAUCGAACCUGGAGAUAGCUGGUUCUCUCCGAAAUAGCUUUAGGGCUAGCCUCAAGUGAUGAUUAUUGGAGGUAGAGCACUGUUUGGACGAGGGGCCCCUCUCGGGUUACCGAAUUCAGACAAACUCCGAAUGCCAAUUAAUUUAACUUGGGAGUCAGAACAUGGGUGAUAAGGUCCAUGUUCGAAAGGGAAACAGCCCAGACCACCAGCUAAGGUCCCAAAAUAUAUGUUAAGUGGAAAAGGAUGUGGCGUUGCCCAGACAACUAGGAUGUUGGCUUAGAAGCAGCCAUCAUUUAAAGAGUGCGUAAUAGCUCACUAGUCGAGUGACACUGCGCCGAAAAUGUACCGGGGCUAAACAUAUUACCGAAGCUGUGGAUUGUCCUUUGGACAAUGGUAGGAGAGCGUUCUAAGGGCGUUGAAGCAUGAUCGUAAGGACAUGUGGAGCGCUUAGAAGUGAGAAUGCCGGUGUGAGUAGCGAAAGAUGGGUGAGAAUCCCGUCCACCGAUUGACUAAGGUUUCCAGAGGAAGGCUCGUCCGCUCUGGGUUAGUCGGGUCCUAAGCUGAGGCCGACAGGCGUAGGCGAUGGAUAACAGGUUGAUAUUCCUGUACCACCUAUAAUCGUUUUAAUCGAUGGGGGGACGCAGUAGGAUAGGCGAAGCGUGCGAUUGGAUUGCACGUCUAAGCAGUAAGGCUGAGUAUUAGGCAAAUCCGGUACUCGUUAAGGCUGAGCUGUGAUGGGGAGAAGACAUUGUGUCUUCGAGUCGUUGAUUUCACACUGCCGAGAAAAGCCUCUAGAUAGAAAAUAGGUGCCCGUACCGCAAACCGACACAGGUAGUCAAGAUGAGAAUUCUAAGGUGAGCGAGCGAACUCUCGUUAAGGAACUCGGCAAAAUGACCCCGUAACUUCGGGAGAAGGGGUGCUCUUUAGGGUUAACGCCCAGAAGAGCCGCAGUGAAUAGGCCCAAGCGACUGUUUAUCAAAAACACAGGUCUCUGCUAAACCGUAAGGUGAUGUAUAGGGGCUGACGCCUGCCCGGUGCUGGAAGGUUAAGAGGAGUGGUUAGCUUCUGCGAAGCUACGAAUCGAAGCCCCAGUAAACGGCGGCCGUAACUAUAACGGUCCUAAGGUAGCGAAAUUCCUUGUCGGGUAAGUUCCGACCCGCACGAAAGGCGUAACGAUUUGGGCACUGUCUCAACGAGAGACUCGGUGAAAUCAUAGUACCUGUGAAGAUGCAGGUUACCCGCGACAGGACGGAAAGACCCCGUGGAGCUUUACUGUAGCCUGAUAUUGAAAUUCGGCACAGCUUGUACAGGAUAGGUA
This 2062-nucleotide ribosomal RNA is filed under the name Staphylococcus aureus. RNAcentral's name for it is "partial 23S ribosomal RNA". It matches the Rfam family "Bacterial large subunit ribosomal RNA", at positions 89 to 2149 of the family's 2925-position model. Lineage: Bacteria; Bacillati; Bacillota; Bacilli; Caryophanales; Staphylococcaceae. The record is from RNAcentral.